This 386-nucleotide long non-coding RNA is filed under the name Linum usitatissimum (flax). RNAcentral describes it as "long non-coding RNA (LUSI_LNC002272)". The record is from RNAcentral. Lineage: Eukaryota; Viridiplantae; Streptophyta; Magnoliopsida; Malpighiales; Linaceae.
UUCUGUACAAGGACACAAGUCCUACUAAAUACCAAUCAUACAGGCUGCUGUAUUACGGUUGAUGUCAUAACAAAUAAUGAAAAGAAACAUAUCUCAAGGAAUCCAGAAAUGACAUCUUCUUCAAAAACACAUUUUGUCCAAUCCUCUGGUAUAUGCCUCAGCACCACAGUAAAACAAAUACUGAUAAUUUACCUCAGUUCUGUACAAACUCUGUAUUAUUGGGUUCCAGUCAACUUAUCUCGACUCUUCCUGGCGCCUGCCUUUUAUACCAUUCUAACAAGAACUUUAAGGAUAUCAUCCAUGGACGGCCUGCGCAAAGGAUCGUCCUCCACACACGUCUUCGCAAGUACAGCUAGACACAACGCCUCAGCGAGAGGGUAAUCUCC